AGACAUGAACUUGUGGGUACAUUUGAGCCAUUGGAGGCUGCUGUUGCACCGUGGACAUUGUUGAUGCAGGAACGUUGGCUGUAUGAGUGGUUAAGGCCUGAAGUCAUAAAAGGUAACAAAUAUUAAUUGAAGCCAUAAUGCAAUAUAAUAUAAUGCCUAAAGAAGUGUUCUUUUACGCACAUCACUUACCAACUUUUAAAAAGCUAAGUGCCAAAAAAGGGAAGUGUUCUUCAAAACACCACAAGGAGGAGAACAAGUAAAAUACAAACACCGCGGCAAUUGUUUUCCCAAAUAACACAGUUUGCAAGGACAAUUUCAACCAGCACGUACACUAUGUACUUUUGCAGAACCAAUUCGACAACUGCUCCUAACCCAUUCACAUCAAUAUAUAAAAAACUGGUUGUGUGCACUUUUGCAAGCAUGCAUGUUAACAUGUGGGAGGGAUAUAGGCAUGCUACUUUGCACAUCUAAAAAACAUUAUAGCAGGUAAAUUUACCUCUUGUGGAGAUGGUAGACCCUGACCUCGUACUGUCUCGUCAAUUUGGGGACGGAAGUAUGAUAUAUCAUAACCAGUCUGGGGAUCAUAUGCCUGCUUGCACACAAUCACAUCAGAAUUUCAAACAAAAAUGUGCAAAAGACCCAUGUAAUGAGACUUUAUUUUAUUUUUUUAUUUGAAAUGAAAUGAAAGCUUUGUCACCACUCAAGCAACUUGGUAAGCAUUCAUUUUAAGUUGGCAUAAAACAUUUCAUUAAUCCAAGUGAACUCACCGAAAAACUUGGUAACUCAGGAUGAUCUUGCUGCUGCUGUGACUCUGAAGGAGCAUAGGAUGGACUGCUGUUUCGAACCAAACCAAUAUCAGCAUAAUUAUCCAAGUUUGGAGGACUUGAUGAGUUCACA
Molecule: long non-coding RNA, 897 nt
Filed under: Populus trichocarpa (black cottonwood)
Lineage: Eukaryota; Viridiplantae; Streptophyta; Magnoliopsida; Malpighiales; Salicaceae
Description: long non-coding RNA (PTRI_LNC000166)
Source: RNAcentral